This 734-nucleotide ribosomal RNA is filed under the name uncultured cyanobacterium. Its description in RNAcentral is "bacterial SSU rRNA". It matches the Rfam family "Bacterial small subunit ribosomal RNA", at positions 12 to 819 of the family's 1533-position model. The record is from RNAcentral. Lineage: Bacteria; Bacillati; Cyanobacteriota.
UUUGAUCCUGGCUCAGGAUGAACGCUGGCGGUCUGCUUAACACAUGCAAGUCGAACGGACCUUUUCGGAGAAUCUGGCUUCAGGUUCGGGACAACCACGGGAAACGGUGGCUAAUACCGAAUGUGCAGAAAUGUGAAAGAUUAAUUGCCUGAAGAUGAGCUCGCGUCUGAUUAGCUAGUUGGUGGGGUAAGAGCCUACCAAGGCAACGAUCAGUAACUGGUCUGAGAGGAUGACCAGUCACACUGGGACUGAGACACGGCCCAGACUCCUACGGGAGGCAGCAGUGGGGAAUUUUCCGCAAUGGGCGAAAGCCUGACGGAGCAAUACCGCGUGAGGGAGGAAGGCUCUAGGGUUGUAAACCUCUUUUCUCAGGGAAGAACAAAAUGACGGUACCUGAGGAAUCAGCAUCGGCUAACUCCGUGCCAGCAGCCGCGGUAAUACGGAGGAUGCAAGCGUUAUCCGGAAUUAUUGGGCGUAAAGCGUCCGCAGGUGGCAGUUCAAGUCUGCUGUUAAAGGUCGAGGCUCAACCCCGAACAGGCAGUGGAAACUGAACAGCUAGAGUGCGGUAGGGGCAGAGGGAAUUCCCAGUGUAGCGGUGAAAUGCGUAGAGAUUGGGAAGAACACCGGUGGCGAAAGCGCUCUGCUAGGCCGUAACUGACACUCAUGGACGAAAGCUAGGGGAGCGAAUGGGAUUAGAUACCCCAGUAGUCCUAGCCGUAAACGAUGGAUACUAG